CUUUCUUUGCUGGCGACCGGCGCACGGGUGAGUAACACGUAUCCAACCUGCCCUUUACUCGGGGAUAGCCUUUCGAAAGAAAGAUUAAUACCCGAUAGCAUAAUGAUUCCGCAUGGUUUCAUUAUUAAAGGAUUCCGGUAAAGGAUGGGGAUGCGUUCCAUUAGGUUGUUGGUGAGGUAACGGCCCACCAAGCCUUCGAUGGAUAGGGAUUCUGAGAGGAAGGUCCCCCACAUUGGAACUGAGACACGGUCCAA
RNAcentral lists this ribosomal RNA (254 nucleotides) under uncultured bacterium. RNAcentral's name for it is "partial 16S ribosomal RNA". It matches the Rfam family "Bacterial small subunit ribosomal RNA", at positions 79 to 334 of the family's 1533-position model. The record is from RNAcentral.